RNAcentral lists this ribosomal RNA (443 nucleotides) under uncultured bacterium. RNAcentral's name for it is "partial 16S ribosomal RNA". It matches the Rfam family "Bacterial small subunit ribosomal RNA", at positions 338 to 795 of the family's 1533-position model. The record is from RNAcentral.
CCUACGGGGGGCAGCAGUAGGGAAUCUUCCACAAUGGGCGAAAGCCUGACCCAGCAACGCCGCGUGAAGGAAGAAGGCCCUCGGGUUGUAAACUUCUUUUGUCAGGGACGAAACAAAUGACGGUACCUGACGAAUAAGCCACGGCUAACUACGUGCCAGCAGCCGCGGUAAUACGUAGGUGGCAAGCGUUAUCCGGAUUUACUGGGUGUAAAGGGCGUGUAGGCGGGAGAGCAAGUCAGAUGUGAAAUUCCAGGGCUCAACCCUGGAACUGCAUUUGAAACUGUUUUUCUUGAGUGAUGGAGAGGCAGGCGGAAUUCCGUGUGUAGCGGUGAAAUGCGUAGAUAUACGGAGGAACACCAGUGGCGAAGGCGGCCUGCUGGACAUUAACUGACGCUGAGGCGCGAAAGCGUGGGGAGCAAACAGGAUUAGAUACCCGAGUAGUC